CUAAUUGUGACCAACAGAAUCUGGUGUGUAGUAAAAAGAGUGGAUAGGCUCUGCCUCAUGAUGUACAGUCCCUUUCCACAACAUUGGAAAUGAAGCCAGGCCUUGAGUCUGUGCCCACAUAUUCCUACAGCAUCUCAGAGUCCUGUGGACAAUGACUGAGGAGAUAAACCAUGCAGUGAGACAUCU
Small nucleolar RNA from Kogia breviceps (pygmy sperm whale), 186 nucleotides. RefSeq annotates it as small nucleolar RNA SNORA73 family. NCBI's taxonomy places the organism in Eukaryota, Metazoa, Chordata, Mammalia, Artiodactyla, Physeteridae. The transcript has a single exon. The record is from RefSeq and is a predicted model, not a curated record.